Molecule: ribosomal RNA, 559 nt
Filed under: Nyctalus noctula (noctule)
Lineage: Eukaryota; Metazoa; Chordata; Mammalia; Chiroptera; Vespertilionidae
Description: partial 16S ribosomal RNA
Source: RNAcentral
GUUAUCCAGAGCAGAAUUUUAGUUCUAAUUUAAACCUAUUAAACAAAUAAACAAAUUACAAUGUAGGUUUAAAUAAUAAUCUAAAAAGGUACAGCUUUUUAGAUAAGGAGUACAAUCCCUAUUAGAGAGUAAAUCAUGAUCAACCACAAUAGUUGGCCUAAAAGCAGCCACCAACUAAGAAAGCGUUCAAGCUCAACAGUCUAAGUAAUUAAUUCCACGAUAAAGAUUAGAUCUCCUAACACUAAGACUGGAUCAUUCUAUUCACAAAUAGAAGUAACACUGCUGAUAUGAGUAACAAGAAAAAUUUCUCCCCGCACACGUGUAUAUCAUGAACGAAUAAAUCACUGAUAAUUAUCAAAACAAACAUUUAUUAAACUACUAGACCCUAGCAUUAAUUGUUAGUCCAACACAGGAGUGCGAAUAGGGAAAGGUUAAAAAAAGUAAAAGGAACUCGGCAAACAAAAACCCCGCCUGUUUACCAAAAACAUCACCUCUAGCAUAAAAAGUAUUAGAGGCACUGCCUGCCCGGUGACUUUAGUUUAACGGCCGCGGUAUCCUA